This 440-nucleotide ribosomal RNA is filed under the name uncultured bacterium. Its description in RNAcentral is "partial 16S ribosomal RNA". It matches the Rfam family "Bacterial small subunit ribosomal RNA", at positions 338 to 795 of the family's 1533-position model. The record is from RNAcentral.
CCUACGGGAGGCAGCAGUGAGGAAUAUUGCACAAUGGGGGAAACCCUGAUGCAGCGACGCCGCGUGAGCGAUGAAGUAUUUCGGUAUGUAAAGCUCUAUCAGCAGGGAAGAAAAUGACGGUACCUGACUAAGAAGCCACGGCUAACUACGUGCCAGCAGCCGCGGUAAUACGUAGGGGGCACGCGGUAUCCGGAUUUACUGGGUGAAAAGGGAGCGUAGACGGCGGUGCAAGCCAGAUGUGAAAGCCCGGGGCUCAACCCCGGGACUGCAUUUGGAACUGUGCUGCUAGAGUGUCGGAGAGGCAGGCGGAAUUCCAGGUGUAGCGGUGAAAUGCGUAGAUAUUAGGAGGAACACCAGUGGCGAAGGCGGCCUGCUGGACGAUGACUGACGUUGAGGCGCGAAAGCGUGGGGAGCAAACAGGAUUAGAUACCCUAGUAGUC